This 856-nucleotide ribosomal RNA is filed under the name Escherichia coli. RNAcentral's name for it is "partial 23S ribosomal RNA". It matches the Rfam family "Bacterial large subunit ribosomal RNA", at positions 371 to 1230 of the family's 2925-position model. Lineage: Bacteria; Pseudomonadati; Pseudomonadota; Gammaproteobacteria; Enterobacterales; Enterobacteriaceae. The record is from RNAcentral.
CCCCGUACACAAAAAUGCACAUACUGUGAGCUCGAUGAGUAGGGCGGGACACGUGGUAUCCUGUCUGAAUAUGGGGGGACCAUCCUCCAAGGCUAAAUACUCCUGACUGACCGAUAGUGAACCAGUACCGUGAGGGAAAGGCGAAAAGAACCCCGGCGAGGGGAGUGAAAAAGAACCUGAAACCGUGUACGUACAAGCAGUGGGAGCACGCUUAGGCGUGUGACUGCGUACCUUUUGUAUAAUGGGUCAGCGACUUAUAUUCUGUAGCAAGGUUAACCGAAUAGGGGAGCCGAAGGGAAACCGAGUCUUAACUGGGCGUUAAGUUGCAGGGUAUAGACCCGAAACCCGGUGAUCUAGCCAUGGGCAGGUUGAAGGUUGGGUAACACUAACUGGAGGACCGAACCGACUAAUGUUGAAAAAUUAGCGGAUGACUUGUGGCUGGGGGUGAAAGGCCAAUCAAACCGGGAGAUAGCUGGUUCUCCCCGAAAGCUAUUUAGGUAGCGCCUCGUGAAUUCAUCUCCGGGGGUAGAGCACUGUUUCGGCAAGGGGGUCAUCCCGACUUACCAACCCGAUGCAAACUGCGAAUACCGGAGAAUGUUAUCACGGGAGACACACGGCGGGUGCUAACGUCCGUCGUGAAGAGGGAAACAACCCAGACCGCCAGCUAAGGUCCCAAAGUCAUGGUUAAGUGGGAAACGAUGUGGGAAGGCCCAGACAGCCAGGAUGUUGGCUUAGAAGCAGCCAUCAUUUAAAGAAAGCGUAAUAGCUCACUGGUCGAGUCGGCCUGCGCGGAAGAUGUAACGGGGCUAAACCAUGCACCGAAGCUGCGGCAGCGACGCUGAUGCGUUGUUGGGUA